GGCGCGGUUUAUCAAGAGGCUUAAAAUCUCUCGAAGGAAACUUCGUGCCGGUUCGAUUCCGGCCCCGAGCACCA
This 74-nucleotide transfer RNA is filed under the name Halothiobacillus neapolitanus c2. RNAcentral's name for it is "tRNA-Leu (TAA) (tRNA-Leu-TAA-2-1)". The record is from RNAcentral. Lineage: Bacteria; Pseudomonadati; Pseudomonadota; Gammaproteobacteria; Chromatiales; Halothiobacillaceae.